Molecule: long non-coding RNA, 411 nt
Filed under: Pandoravirus neocaledonia
Description: hypothetical ncRNA
Source: RNAcentral
GAUUUUUUUAUCACCCGAGCACGAGGACAGCGGCAAGAAAGCACUCGAUCCUCGGAUGACCAACAAAGCGCUUUUGCUUGGGCACAGGGCGUCGCGCCGUACGUGCGCAUGCAGAGGUCACCCAUUGGGCCAACGAUAUUUGCGUAUAAAAUAUUGUCGGCCGCCCACGGCCCCGCUGCGGUCAACUAUACUGCUGCGUGUCGGCACUUGUCUACACCGAAAGCAUGCUAGUCCUGUGACCAACACAGGCGCCGGCCUUCAACUGGACAACAGCAGUGGACUGGUUCCAACGAUGCGGUGGCGCGAAUAAGCCUACCUACACGCCUCGACUGACCGACCGCGCGCUGUCUGCCGCCCAGGUCUCAAACAUUAUUAUUGUGCGCAUGUUUUUAUAAACACAUUUGUUGGGAU